RNAcentral lists this non-coding RNA (126 nucleotides) under Chinchilla lanigera (long-tailed chinchilla). The record is from RNAcentral. Lineage: Eukaryota; Metazoa; Chordata; Mammalia; Rodentia; Chinchillidae.
GUGUUGUAUGAAAGGAAAGAAGGUUAGUACUACCCUUGACAAGGAUGGAAGAGGCCCUUGGGCCUGACAACACGCGUAUGGUUAAGGCAUUACCACGUACUUCGCGGCACCUAACCAUUGUUUUUA